UACGGAGGGUGCAAGCGUUGUCCGGAUUUAUUGGGUUUAAAGGGUGCGUAGGCGGCCCGUUAAGUCCGUGGUGAAAGCCAACAGCUCAACUGUUGAACUGCCAUGGAUACUGACGGGCUUGAGUACAGACGAGGUUGGCGGAAUUGAUGCUGUAGCGGUGAAAUGCAUAGAUAGCAUCAAGAACACCGAUUGCGUAGGCAGCUAACUAGGCUGUAACUGACGCUGAGGCACGAAAGCGUGGGGAGCGAACAGG
Molecule: ribosomal RNA, 253 nt
Filed under: uncultured bacterium
Lineage: Bacteria
Description: partial 16S ribosomal RNA
Rfam family: Bacterial small subunit ribosomal RNA
Source: RNAcentral